This 117-nucleotide small nucleolar RNA is filed under the name Oryzias latipes (Japanese medaka). RNAcentral's name for it is "Small nucleolar RNA SNORA56 (ENSORLG00000021678.2)". Lineage: Eukaryota; Metazoa; Chordata; Actinopteri; Beloniformes; Adrianichthyidae. The record is from RNAcentral.
CUGCAGACAGUUAUCCCUCUCUGAGCUGCCGUGCUCCUGGAGGGAGUCGCUCUGCUACAGAAACUCUCAGUUGGAGCUUCUUCCAGCACUGGUGUCAUGAAGCCCACCUGAGGACAU